GUCUCAGGAUGGCGAGCAGCAGCGGCUCUAAAGCCGAAUUUAUCGUCGGAGGGAAAUACAAACUGGUGCGGAAGAUCGGAUCUGGCUCCUUCGGGGACAUUUAUCUGGCGAUCAACAUCACCAAUGGCGAGGAAGUGGCAGUGAAGCUAGAAUCCCAGAAGGCCAGGCAUCCCCAGUUGCUGUACGAGAGCAAAUUGUAUAAGAUUCUUCAAGGUGGGGUUGGCAUCCCUCACAUACGGUGGUAUGGACAAGAAAAAGACUAUAACGUGCUAGUCAUGGAUCUUCUGGGGCCCAGCCUUGAAGAUCUCUUCAAUUUCUGUUCAAGAAGGUUCACUAUGAAGACUGUACUUAUGUUAGCUGACCAGAUGAUCAGUAGGAUUGAAUAUGUGCACACAAAGAAUUUUAUACACAGAGACAUUAAACCAGAUAACUUCCUAAUGGGUAUUGGGCGUCACUGUAAUAAGUGUUUAGAAUCUCCAGUGGGGAAGAGGAAAAGAAGCAUGACUGUUAGUCCUUCUCAGGACCCAUCUUUCUCAGGAUUAAACCAGUUAUUCCUUAUUGAUUUUGGUUUGGCCAAAAAGUACAGAGACAACAGGACAAGGCAACACAUACCAUACAGAGAAGAUAAAAAUCUGACUGGCACUGCCCGAUACGCUAGCAUCAAUGCACAUCUGGGUAUUGAACAGAGUCGCCGAGAUGACAUGGAAUCUUUAGGAUAUGUUUUGAUGUAUUUUAAUAGAACCAGUCUGCCCUGGCAAGGGCUAAAGGCUGCAACAAAGAAACAGAAAUAUGAAAAGAUUAGUGAAAAGAAGAUGUCCACUCCUGUUGAAGUUUUGUGUAAGGGGUUUCCUGCAGAAUUUGCCAUGUACUUAAAUUACUGUCGUGGGCUGCGCUUUGAGGAAGCUCCGGAUUACAUGUAUCUGAGGCAGCUAUUCCGCAUCCUUUUCAGGACCCUGAACCACCAAUACGACUAUACAUUUGAUUGGACGAUGUUAAAGCAGAAAGCAGCACAGCAGGCAGCCUCUUCCAGUGGGCAGGGUCAGCAGGCCCAAACCCCCACAGGUAUUAAAGACGAGAAGUUGGAUCCACUGAGUUAGUAUGUUUCCUUGGAAAAGAAAAGUGAUUAAACUUAAGUUUAAGCUGCCUUCUGUAUCGUAACUUUUUCAUAAAAGUAACUUAAAUCAUAAAACAGUUACAACAUCAAUAGACACAGUGGUCGUGCAAAUUAUGACAUGUACAUGAACCUACAGUGUUCUGAAAUAUGAAAUUUUCAGUAAAUACCUUAAUGACUGCUUUCAGAAGGUACAUUUCUAAGACGAGGUUCAGUGACAUGAAUGCUUAUAGUCUUAGCUACUGGGAGGUUGAGAUGAGGAUUGCUUAAGUUAAUGACCAGUGUUCCUUCUCAAAGGUGGGGGGGAUGGGUUACUAAGAGGGUUUUUGUUGUUUUUUGGGGGUUUGUUUUAUUUUUAUUUUUUACCUUGAGCAAAAUACUGCUCGCCACUAAAAUACGUCAGUCUGGGGCUAGAAAGUUAGCUAAGUUGGAAAGUGCUUGCUUUGUAUGAAUGUGGACCUGAGUUCAGGUUUCUAGAACCUCCAUUUUAAAAGCCAGCAAGGACUGGGAAGUGUUUGGCACACACACCCUAAAUCCCAGCACUUGGCAUAGAGCAAGCAGAUUUCUGUGAGUUUGAGGCCAACCUCAAAAUGGUGAGACCGGAGACCCUGUCUCAGCAACAAAGCUAGCAAGCUGUUACGAGGUUUGCUUAUCCGUCCAGCUCCGGCUAGCAGGGUGGAGACAGGCAAAACCUUGGGACUUUCUGGCUGGCCCUACCUAUAAAGCCUAAUCAAUAAGCUCUGACCUAGUGGAAGACCCCAACUCCAAAAAAUAAAAGACAUCAGAGGGACCACCACCAGACUUGACUCCUGACCAUGACCCCGCACAGAGAUGUACAACAAGCUGUGCCACUACCCAGAAUAUUCAGUAAAAGAGGUGGACUUUCGACUCCUUAACAUUCGUGAAUUUAGUGUUCAUACAGAAAGCUAAGAAAAAUGCACAUGCCCUAAGAGUGGUAUGAAAUAAGCAUGAGAAAAUUAGUCUUAGACCCUCUGCUACUCACAUUAUAUAGGUAGUUCCAAAAUAGGAUGUAUAAAACAAUACUUAGUUUCUGCUACUUUAGCUUUUGAUCUCAUGGAAUCUUCCAAUAAUGGUAUCAUCAUAUUAUUUCUCAGCUCAAAAAUUAUAGAAAGUAGCCAGGCAGUGGUGGUACUACCUGUAGUCCCAGCACUUAGGAGGCAAAGGCAGGUGGAGCUCAGUGAGUUCUAGGACAGCUAGAACUGUUACACAGAGAAACUCUGUCUUGAAAAAUACAAAAUGAAACAAAAAAUUAUAGCAGGUGGUGACUCAUAACCUUUAAUCCGAGACUUGGGAGUAGAAGGAUGGAUCUGGUUGAGGAUCACUCGGGCUAUAUAGUGAGACUCUCAAAGACCAAAAUAAAAUGAGUAAAAGAUACCCCUUAAGACAUACAGCUUCCUCCCCUUUUGAUGAUAAUCUCAUAUGCUUGUAUAUAUCAAUGAAUUCAGUUCAUAAAUCUUUAGCAAUCAGGCCUCUAAAAGUUCUCUUCUGGAAAGAUCUUCUAAAUGUUGGCAUUAUUUUUUAUAAGUUCUUUAGGGUUUUGUGAGGGUUUCUGUUUUUUUGACUACUCGGCAGUUAUUUUUUUAAGCGUAUGUUUCUUUCAUAGAUAUUACAGAAAUUUCUAGCCACUUAGAGUGUUUAAGUGUUCUUAAAAAUCUUGAUCAUGCUGGGCGCACACCUUUAAUCCCAGCACUUUGGAGGCAGAGUGAAUCUCUGUGAGUUCGAGGCCAGCGUGGUCUACAAGAGCUAGUUCCAGGACAGACUCCAAAGCUACAGAGAAACCCUGUCUCAAAAUAUGUAAAAUAUAUAUUAUAUAUAUAUGUGUGUGUAAUAUAUAUAUAUGUGUGUGUGUGUGCUCAUUUAGCUAGUGUAUGCUUCUUAUAUCAUAGGUGGAUUCUCUGCUCUGAUAACUUUGCAUUAGGCCUUUCAGUUACUGCAUUCCAAAGCCAAUCAAGACCAAGAGAAAGGAUUUCCCCUAAUGUCUCUUAGGCUUUUUCUUAUAGUGCUGAAGUGCCCCUAAGAUUGAAUUUUUUGCUUCUCUUUGUAUAGUAAAGAAAAGAUGAAAAACUUCUCCCUCUGAACAUUUGACAAUCAUUUAAUAAGUGUUCUUCUACUGUUGAUGAUUGUCAGAAAGGUACUUGUUUAUGACCUAGAAGAGACAUAUUUUAUGAACAUUUAAAUAAUUCAGUUAGUUCUGAUAACCCACAAGUAGCUGAUGCAGUAGAACAAGUUUGAGAGUGGCCUUGACCUUCUAAGACUUAAGUGUUUUCUCUCACACUAACCUACCUCUGUCAGUGAUCCCUAGAAGCCUAAAGGGCUUUACCAUGUGUAGUUUAACAUUUUCUGACUUCACCAACUGCUGCCAGGAACACAGCUGAUAAUUCAGCAACUUAACCCAAAACAGGAAAGGGAAGACCUAGCGAUGCCUGGAGAAACUGACUUACCCUCAAUACACUCAGUCCAAAGAAGACCUGGGAACUGAAUCUUUGCUGAAACCUGGGAUUUUCGUCAGCUUUUCUCAUUGUGGACAGUAAAACUGAAGAGAGCGACAAAAGAAAUGAAGAAAGUGCAAGAGACCUUCAAGGCUCCCUGGGCCUGUUAACUCUCAGCUCAGGUUCUGUGAUGGCUGUCAGAAGGCCUGGGAGAGCGCUGUGUAAUGCCCACCAUCUGCCAGUUGGGACAAAUUCCUUUGUAACAGGAAAAGAAGAGGUUCAUUCCUCAUUUUAACUGAUGUCAGUGAAGAUUUACUCUGGAUCCACAAGUGCUACCCAGGCUGCAAGAUUUUUAAAACAAAAACCAAAGCACAGUGGAAGAGACUGUGCUUAGUGGUGGUUGAAGACUGAAUGUUGGAGGCCUGCUAUUGUGUUUUUCCUUCUUGAUUACCAUCCAAGAACCGCUCAUUUGAGGGAUGUCACCUGGGUAGAAAGAACAUCCUACCAUUGACCUGUCUAGCUGAAGAACUCAAACUGGAUUUGACUACUUUAUU
Molecule: RNA transcript, 4115 nt
Organism: Microtus oregoni (creeping vole)
Lineage: Eukaryota; Metazoa; Chordata; Mammalia; Rodentia; Cricetidae
Gene: Csnk1a1
Gene name: casein kinase 1 alpha 1
Exons: 12
Source: RefSeq, a predicted model, not a curated record